Oncorhynchus kisutch (coho salmon) is the source of this 920-nucleotide long non-coding RNA. RefSeq lists it as uncharacterized. NCBI's taxonomy places the organism in Eukaryota, Metazoa, Chordata, Actinopteri, Salmoniformes, Salmonidae. The record is from RefSeq and is a predicted model, not a curated record. The transcript has 3 exons.
UUUGCCCUGGCCCUUGAUGAUACUGUUAGCGAUCCGUGCCAGUGCUUUGCCAAGCUCCUCGGUCUGGUCCCUGAGCAUGUGUUUGUUGCUCCCAUCAAGGACGAAGGAAAUAGAGCUGAAUCAGACAGACAAACAUCUGUCCCUGAACUCUACACACCAGCUGACAAAGCCUACACAGGAGGAAGGAAGAUGGCCCAUGUGGAAUGAUGACAGCUUCCUGCAGAGUCACAUACAGGUUGAUACAGUUCAGUUGUUGGUGGUAACAUGCAACACAGCACUGCUUGCUUCAGUAAAUCUUAAAAUCUACCAAUUUGAUGACCCGGUUGGAGGCAUUUCCUUUUGAUGUUCUGUAUUAUGGCAUACUUCAUGUUUUGUGGGGACCCCAGGAUGAGUAGCUGCUGCUUUCACAACAGCCAAAGGGGAUCCUAAUAAAAUACCACAUUGCAAAAUAACCUUGUGUGGAGUGAGGAGCCAUAAGUAUGUUGGGUCGUCAUAGUUGUGGCUUGAGAUAUGCUAAAUAGGCAGUCUUAAAUUAACCAACCAAAACGAGGAAGAAGAGAACAGAGAGAACUCCUUCCGAUUCUAGAACACUGGGAAUUAAAAUAACAUUCUGUCUAAUUCAGCAUUCUAUUAUACCACCAGCCCAUGUGACAUCUACAGACAUGGGCUAUAUUUAAUGUUAUAAUAGGAAAAACUAUAGAGAAGAGCAGUUGAGAGGAGAGGAUAGGAGGGAAGAGUGGGGAGGCGGGGAGAGAGGAGGGAAGAGAAGAGAGGAGAGAUAGGAGAGGAAAGGAGGGAGGAGAAGAGAGGAGAAGAGAAGUGUCCCUCCUGUUGCUGCAAACACAGAUAUAGGAUCUUCAUUUGAUCCCCCUGGUACAGGAGAACUUCCCUGCAAAGCAGGAAAAGUACAACUUGGAGUG